AUUGAGCGCUGGCGGCAUGCCUUACACAUGCAAGUCGAACGGCAGCACGGGGGCAACCCUGGUGGCGAGUGGCGAACGGGUGAGUAAUGCAUCGGAACGUGCCCCGUAGCGGGGAUAACCAGUCGAAAGACUGGCUAAUACCGCAUACGCUCCACGGAGGAAAGCAGGGGAUCGCAAGACCUUGCACUAUGGGAGCGGCCGAUGCCCGAUUAGCUAGNGGUGAGGUAAAGGCUCACCAAGGCGACGAUCGGUAGCUGGUUUGAGAGAACGACCAGCCACACUGGGACUGAGACACGGCCCAGACUCCUACGGGAGGCAGCAGUGGGGAAUUUUGGACAAUGGGCGCAAGCCUGAUCCAGCCAUGCCGCGUGCGGGAUGAAGGCC
Molecule: ribosomal RNA, 384 nt
Filed under: uncultured bacterium
Lineage: Bacteria
Description: bacterial SSU rRNA
Rfam family: Bacterial small subunit ribosomal RNA
Source: RNAcentral